GGACGGGUGAGUAAUGCCUAGGAAUCUGCCUGGUAGUGGGGGAUAACGUCCGGAAACGGGCGCUAAUACCGCAUACGUCCUGAGGGAGAAAGUGGGGGAUCUUCGGACCUCACGCUAUCAGAUGAGCCUAGGUCGGAUUAGCUAGUUGGUGGGGUAAAGGCCUACCAAGGCGACGAUCCGUAACUGGUCUGAGAGGAUGAUCAGUCACACUGGAACUGAGACACGGUCCAGACUCCUACGGGAGGCAGCAGUGGGGAAUAUUGGACAAUGGGCGAAAGCCUGAUCCAGCCAUGCCGCGUGUGUGAAGAAGGUCUUCGGAUUGUAAAGCACUUUAAGUUGGGAGGAAGGGCAGUAAGUUAAUACCUUGCUGUUUUGACGUUACCAACAGAAUAAGCACCGGCUAACUUCGUGCCAGCAGCCGCGGUAAUACGAAGGGUGCAAGCGUUAAUCGGAAUUACUGGGCGUAAAGCGCGCGUAGGUGGUUCAGCAAGUUGGAUGUGAAAUCCCCGGGCUCAACCUGGGAACUGCAUCCAAAACUACUGAGCUAGAGUACGGUAGAGGGUGGUGGAAUUUCCUGUGUAGCGGUGAAAUGCGUAGAUAUAGG
This 604-nucleotide ribosomal RNA is filed under the name uncultured Pseudomonas sp. RNAcentral's name for it is "bacterial SSU rRNA". It matches the Rfam family "Bacterial small subunit ribosomal RNA", at positions 100 to 700 of the family's 1533-position model. The record is from RNAcentral. Lineage: Bacteria; Pseudomonadati; Pseudomonadota; Gammaproteobacteria; Pseudomonadales; Pseudomonadaceae.